GGAAUUGACGGGUCCCCGCACAAGCAGCGGAGCGUGUGGUUUAAUUCGAUGCUACACGAAGAACCUUACCUGGGUUUGACAUAGAGGUAGUAGGGAAGCGAAAGCGGACCGACCCUUCGGGAGCCUCUACAGGUGUUGCAUGGCUGUCGUCAGCUCGUGUCGUGAGAUGUUCGGUUAAGUCCGCUAACGAGCGCAACCCUCGCUGUGUGUUACAAGUGUCACACGGUACUGCCGAUAUUAAGUCGGAGGAAGGUGAGGAUGAUGUCAAGUCAGCAUGACCUUUAUAUCUAGGGCUACACACACGCUACAAUGGUCUGUACAAUGGGUUGCCAAGCCGCGAGGCGGAGCCAAUCCUAAAAAGCAGGCCUCAGUUCAGAUUGCAGUCUGCAACCCGACUGCAUGAAGCCGGAGUUGCUAGUAACCGCAGGUCAGCAAUACUGCGGUGAAUACGUUCCCGGGUCUU
This 463-nucleotide ribosomal RNA is filed under the name uncultured Anaerolineaceae bacterium. RNAcentral's name for it is "bacterial SSU rRNA". It matches the Rfam family "Bacterial small subunit ribosomal RNA", at positions 906 to 1382 of the family's 1533-position model. The record is from RNAcentral. Lineage: Bacteria; Bacillati; Chloroflexota; Anaerolineae; Anaerolineales; Anaerolineaceae.